Molecule: long non-coding RNA, 409 nt
Organism: Trichomycterus rosablanca
Lineage: Eukaryota; Metazoa; Chordata; Actinopteri; Siluriformes; Trichomycteridae
Exons: 2
Source: RefSeq, a predicted model, not a curated record
AUAAAGAGACCGAAACUUUCUAAAGUAUUUCAGCCAAAAUAACCCAAAGAAACGAGCUGGACGCAGACACUACAAAGCAGAGUUAUGGUUUCACGCCAGCACUACGGUGAAACGCCUUGCAGCCGUGAUGAGCAGCGUUAUUACGAUGAAACGUUUUACAGACUUUUAAACAAAACACGACACAUGAUGAACCUGUCUACAGAAACAGAGCCGUGCUGAAGUACACACAGCUGUAUGAGGAGCAGUCCAGCUGCUAUUAAAACGCAGUCAUAAUGCUGAGCUGGAACCGACCUGACAGACACCCUGCAAUGAAAAUCCACUUUUUCUCUGCAGCAGAACUUUAAACGGCUCUCAUUUACUUCAACGGCUUUAAUCUGCACUAAAUAAAGGUGCUUUUUUGUACUUCUCA